UGCCAAGGCUGUUGGUGGAGAACUGAGAGCAGAGAGAGAUCUUUGCAGUUUUCCCAGCUUUUAUCUUGGUUUUCAGCAGGUACCCAGGGACCAGCGUGCUUAUCACCAGUGCCAGCAAUGGCAUUCCAGUGCUCACACAAGACUUGGCAUAUUCAGGGACAACAGGCCCAGUGGGAGUGUGCCAGCUGGGAGAUGUUGUGUCUGGGCCACUGACAGCCUAAAGGGAACAUGCAAAACCAUAAAAGAGGUGCCUUUUUUCAAAUCUACUACUCUUCUAAUAAUCUCUUAUGUGCAUCAUUUAAGCACUAAGAUGCCUGUUCAGGAACCUCUCAGCAAAUCCUACAGAACCAAGGAAUAACACAGUGGAGAGUCCAAAAGUCUCUUGAAAAAUAAGUAAAAAGCAGCAGCCAAUCAACCUAAAGGCUGAUGAUAGAUUUAAACAAAAGAAAGGGUAAAACACUGGGGGGGUUUGACAACCACAUAAGAUACUUUUUACU
Molecule: long non-coding RNA, 497 nt
Organism: Haemorhous mexicanus (house finch)
Lineage: Eukaryota; Metazoa; Chordata; Aves; Passeriformes; Fringillidae
Exons: 3
Source: RefSeq, a predicted model, not a curated record